This 1201-nucleotide long non-coding RNA is filed under the name Homo sapiens (human). RNAcentral describes it as "HSALNT0310384". The record is from RNAcentral. Lineage: Eukaryota; Metazoa; Chordata; Mammalia; Primates; Hominidae.
GAAGGCGGGGACCCGGGCCCCGCGGGCCUGCAGCGCCCCCGCACCCGGUUCCACGCGCCCAGGGCCGCCCCCGCGGAGAGAGGGGGCGCGAGGGGCGCGCCUCUCGCUCGGACACCCUCUCCCAGCUCGCGCCCCAGGUAACUUAAACCCAAUUAUAAAUGGCUUUGGCUAUAAAGUGUUCUUGAAUGAAAACGUUUAGGAAGUAGGCCUGGAUUCAGAUGCUUCAGAGGCUCAAAGGUUUUCUAAUUGUUUAUGGAGAAGAUUGAUCUUCACAAGCUAGUUUUUUCAUAGGCAAAAGCAAAAGUCUCUUCCUGUGUUAUUAAGUGAAAAUGGCUGAUUAUAAAAAGGGGCUUACAAACAAUAUUUAACAAAUCUUCAUCAAGUCCCUACUCUGUGGCAGGCCCUGGGUCAGGAGGUUGCCGAUUCCAGGAAGAAUCAGACCUUAUCCCUGCCCUUGAGUCUCAAGAAGAGGAAAGGAAAACAAAUAAGCAUAGUACAGUGUGAAAAGUGGGACUGUGGUCAAAUUUCAGUCUGCAAACUCAGAAUGGAUGAAAUAUGAAAGACUGACAACAUCAAGUUGUCAAGUAGGACAGGAUGUGGAACCACUGGAACUCAUACGUGACUGAUGGGAAUGCAAAAUGAUACCGAUCCCUUGGAAAACUCCUUGGCAACUUUAAUAAACAUAAAUCUACCCUAUGAUCCAGAAAUUCCACUCUGAGUCACGUCUCCAAGAGCAAUGAAAAUAUAUACCCACAAAAGACUGCACAUAAAUCAGAACAGCAUUGUUGAUAAUAGCCCAAACUGGAAACAACCUAAAUAUUCACCAAUAGAAGCCUGAAUAAAUUCAUACUGUGGGAUACUCUACAGCAAUGAGAUCAUGAAAGAUAGUGUGGCUUCCACUUUGGUCUCUUAUAUCACCUACUGGGGGAAGCCAGCUGCCAUGUUGUGAGGACACUCAAGAAGCUCUGUGGAGAGGCUCUUUUGAAGGAGAACCAAUGCCUCCCACCAACAGCCAGCAUCAACUUGGGACAUGUGAGUGAACCAAUUGGAAGUGGAUCCUCCAGCCAAGUCAAGCCUUCAGAUGACUGAAGCCCCAGCCUCAUGAGAGAUAGCAGGCUAAAACUGCCCAGCUAAGCUGCUCCUGAAAUCCUGACCCCCCAAAUUAUAAAAGACAAUAAAUUAUUAUUGUUGUUUUAAGCCA